UGUUAGCAGUCAGAGAGGUAGGAGCCCCCUAAGCCAGGAUAUAAGGAGAAGCCUAACUGCAGCCUAAGAAACAACCUCAGAUUGAAGACUGUGUCCUGGCCAGAUGUACUUUGACUGUGAUGACAGCCCUAGGAUAUGGGUGACUAGAAGGGACCAUUUAGCAACUGAUUUCUGAUACUGUACUGUUUCCAAACUGAUAGAACUAUAUUUACAAUACCUAUUCAUACAGAAGUCAACCCCUGAUGACUCCUUUACCCUUCAUCAUUGGCAAUAUGGGUAAAGAUUCUCAGAACAGUAGGAGUACCAGAAGCAAGACUACAAUAUUCAGUGUUGUCAAGUCUGUCUAAAUAAUGAUUGAUAUAAGGAACAAACUCAGCAAAAUCUGUACAACAAUGACUCCAUUUUCUUUUUCCAUAUUAACCCUAAAAUAAUUUCUAAGCUGUUGUGUUCUAUGCCAAGCAAGUGCCAGACAAAAGAAGGAUUUCAGACACCUAGGGCCUUCAGUCUUGAUCAAAUAUAUCACUGAAGUGGAAAAGGAGCAUGAAAUAAAGCAGUGUGCGUGGCAGUGUGUCAAUGAGAAAGGCGAAUGAGGAGUAGCUGAAGGAACAUUUCAAGAUUCUUUGAAGCAUGUUUGUAUUUUUGCAUCAAGAUUCAGCAACUCCCAGUACAUCUGAAGAAGAAUGCAAAUGAGCUGUCUUCAAAACUAUAUAAAACAGAAUCCAGUCCUCUGUUCAUGCCACUUGUCCAGCUGCAGAGACACUAUCCAGAGCCCAGUGAAACUACCAGAAAGAUUCCCACUGACUUUGGCGGCUUUCAGACCAGUCCAAGUUCCAAACCUGGGAGUUUUGAAACCCUUCCUGCCAAGAUAAGAAGACCCCCUCAAUCCCUGUUUAUCUCAGUAUUUCAUAUGAUCCAGUGCUGAAUUCGUAAAUGACCAGUGGUUUAAGUGGAAAUAGAUAAACUGAGAAUCAAAAAUAAUUCCUUGUAUUCCUAGGGAAAGAUGUAGGUCUUGAAAGCACCCAGCAGCUUCUCACCGAUCAUCCAGCAGGCUUUGGAAACGACACCAUAAGCCUACCUGAAAGUUCUGUUCCAUCUGAAAAUAUGUCUUCCUUUCUCUUUUCUGUGCAUCUUGAAGGAGCUAUUCCAUUGAACCUGAGCUCUCUGACUGAACGUACUGAUUUAGCUUUUUCAAGAAAGUAGUGCCUCCUGCCUCCCCCAACAAAAGAUUUACAAGUUUGAACGUAAAGAAACAAAAGUGACUUAGAAACCCAUGGAAGAGUUAUUCUGGCUGUUUCUUUUUGAAUUGAUGGGAUAGUUUGUCAGCUUAGUUGUUAGCAAUGCCCAUACUGCACCUGUUCGGGACACCCUGAAUAUGCACAACAUCCAGUUGGUGUCAGUCUUUGCAGGAAACAGCUUUACUGAGUAGCCUGUCCUAGCCUGCAGGCAUGAUUCUCAUAGGAUUGAAAUAAUAUCACACCCACCUCACCCCUUCCAGUCCAAGCACAUGGCAUGUGACUUCAACCUGCCUUCUCUGAGACACACUCCGAGCAGCACCAAACCAACACACUGCACUGCACAUACAAUUCUCCCAUUAGGUAAAGAGAAAAGAGAGAGCAAACCACUUAACAGAUAUUAGUUAUGUCAUGUGUUGCACAUCGUGAAGGCACUCGGUUAUGAACAGUUAUCAACGCAUUAUAAGAACCUCUAUAGAAUAUUAUAUAAAAUAGAGCAUAGGGCUAAAUAUCAUUUUCGUUGUCAGGGGUGUUUCAACAUCUCACUUACCCAUCCAGUUGAGGGAAUUUUGUCUUGGCAUUGACAAGGAGGUUGUUCUAAUUCCCCUUAAUACAAUGUAGCCAGCUUGUCAUCUCAUUCACAUGCACAAAUGAGAUGACUCAGGUUUUUUAAUGGGACCUGAAGUUCCUUUCAGCACAGAUCCCAGCACUGGGUAGGGAAAGGGCUGAAAUGUAUGGUCCACUCUGUCUGCUAGCUUUUCUUCUGUCUUUUCUGCCUACUUGGUCAGCCUUUCAUUUGUCUCCUCUUCCAUGUGGUUUCUGAAGACUAUGUUUCUCAACAAAGCAGAGCUUUGUUUUUAUGCUGUAGUUCUAGCAUUAUACCAAGGUUUAGUAAGGAAAACCCUACACUGACUAUGUACUAUUUAUUUCAGUAUUUCUAAAUAAGUUCUUUCCUUGGAAAAAUUAUUGGCUUAGCUACAUGGCAGCCAACCCAAGCAAGUUGAGGGUGAAAUUCCUAGCUGAAACAGAAACUGGAUAUAUAAGCCAGAAUAGUGUUAAUGGAAAGGAGCACCUUAUCCACUCCCACUGCUGUGACGAGUCAUGGUAUUUAACUAUAUUUAUGAGCAUGUUGAGUGGUCAAGUGACAUCUAUCCCAGACAAAGCUGUCAUUCAGUUUAAGCUGGCCUGCAGUAAAUUCUGUUUAAUGGGGAAACAUACCCCAUGUAAAUGGACUACCUCCUCAGGGCAUUUUUUCCAUCCCCUUGUCAAUAAAUGAAGACCUGUAAAAGUUCAGAAACAUUGUGCUUGUCAGCAAAUUUUGUCCUGUUUGACUAAUAACAAAUGGGUGCAACUAUUUUAAGUUUUGUUAGGUUACUCCAUCACUACCAGACAUGGUAUAGUCCUUUCAGAACUGAUAGUGUAGCAGCAUUUUCCUGAAAUUACAAUCAGUGUCUUUGUGCUCAGGACUACAAGAAACCCAUGGCUGCCCCACAAGGAUUGGUGUUUAGAAGAUACAUUGGGGUAGCUUCUUAGACCACAUAUCCCCUUUUGACACGUGUCCUUAGAAAAUUGUCCUUUAAUGAUCACACCCGCUACUGUAACUUGUGUUUUUUCGGUAAUGUAUUGACAUUUAUUUAUUUGAUUUUUUUUCUGUUUACUUAUUAUCUGAUUAGAAACCUGAAGAUUGUCUGGAGGCUUAUUCCACCUGACAGACAUAUGUUAUCUUUAUCCAAAACCCAUGUAUUUCUAUGGCACCUGACAUACUAGAGUGCUGUAUCAGUGAGCUAUUUAAGCAUAUAUUUUAAGUCUAUGACAAGUCCCCCUGACUUUGCUGAGACUAUCACAAGUUUAAAUUAUCCACGUGCUUAAGUGCUUUGUUGAAUCAGGACCUAACUAUAGUUAGAAAAUGAACUUGAAUGGGAUAGCUACAUGCAAAUAGAUAUUUACUUGAUACAACCCAAAGGCAUGCAUGAAUCCAAACUAACUCCUUUAUAAAGAAUUUUUAGAUUCUGGUUUCUCAUAUUACCAAUCGGUAUUCUGUGCUUACCAUCAGCAGAUACUCUGGGGUGAUUCUGCACUUUUUUUUAGACUAUUUGCUCUACAAUAAACAUUAGAUUGGAAAUUCAUGGUAAGAGAGGAACCCAUAGGAAUAACGUUAUGAACUGUUGUGAGGAAGCGUGGUUGUAUUUCUUGGCUUUUUACACUUUGUUAACUUUACUUAAGUUAAUGCGCUGACACUGCCUUUUGCACUAUGCUGUACAUUUGUAAAGUUUUACAGAGAACUCAAAAUAAAAAUGUUGCCUUUUUCUCAUUUAA
Alligator mississippiensis (American alligator) is the source of this 3548-nucleotide long non-coding RNA. RefSeq lists it as uncharacterized. The transcript has 6 exons. Lineage: Eukaryota; Metazoa; Chordata; Crocodylia; Alligatoridae. The record is from RefSeq and is a predicted model, not a curated record.